GGUUUCCGUAGGUGAACCUGCGGAAGGAUCAUUAACCUUUCAAAUCAGGGUGCGGCGCGGCCCCCGAGGAGCGGAAACAAUCCUUGGGAGGUAUGCGGGGGCUUCGAGCCCCCCAUUUACGCACGCACGACUGCCAUCCUUACUUUACGAGCACCUUCUGUUCUCCCUCGGCGGGGCAACCUGCCGUUGGAACCGAAUAAACUCUUUUUGCACCUAGCAUUACCUGUUCCGAAACAAACAAUCGUUACAACUUUCAACAAUGGAUCUCUUGGCUCUGGCAUCGAUGAAGAACGCAGCGAAAUGCGAUAAGUAGUGUGAAUUGCAGAAUUCAGUGAAUCAUCGAAUCUUUGAACGCACAUUGCGCCCCUCGGUAUUCCGUGGGGCAUGCCUGUUCGAGCGUCAUCUACACCCUCAAGCUCUGCUUGGUGUUGGGCGUCUGUCCCGCCUCCGCGCGUGGACUCGCCCCAAAUUCAUUGGCAGCGGUCCUUGCCUCCUCUCGCGCAGCACAUUGCGCUUCUCGAGGGGCUACGGCUCGCGUCCAACAAGCACAUUUACCGUCUUUGACCUCNGAUCAGGUAGGGAUACCCGCUGAACUUAAGCAUAUCA
Molecule: ribosomal RNA, 606 nt
Filed under: uncultured fungus
Lineage: Eukaryota; Fungi
Description: eukaryotic LSU rRNA
Rfam family: 5.8S ribosomal RNA (bases 249-402)
Source: RNAcentral